Molecule: microRNA, 21 nt
Filed under: Pteropus alecto (black flying fox)
Lineage: Eukaryota; Metazoa; Chordata; Mammalia; Chiroptera; Pteropodidae
Also listed under: 1 other name
Description: pal-miR-3059-3p
Source: miRBase by way of RNAcentral
UCUAGGGAAGAGAAGGUUGGG